GUGCUCACUUCUGCAGCACAUACACUAAAAUCGGAAUGAUAACAGAGAGGAUUAGCAUGGCCCCUGUGCAAGGAUGACAUGCAAAUUCGUGAAGCAUUCCAUACUUUU
Small nuclear RNA from Cavia porcellus (domestic guinea pig), 108 nucleotides. NCBI's taxonomy places the organism in Eukaryota, Metazoa, Chordata, Mammalia, Rodentia, Caviidae. The record is from RefSeq and is a predicted model, not a curated record.